Molecule: long non-coding RNA, 570 nt
Filed under: Monodelphis domestica (gray short-tailed opossum)
Lineage: Eukaryota; Metazoa; Chordata; Mammalia; Didelphimorphia; Didelphidae
Description: lncRNA (ENSMODG00000037885.1)
Source: RNAcentral
CCCUGAGGCAUGCUGGGGAAUGCAGUUCCCCCAGCCACAACACUUUACAACCCACACUGGCCGCCUGACCAUGUGAUUAACUGGGCCCCUUGCCAGGACUUGUGAAAUGGCCCAGGGCCCUUUGGGAAUCUAGGAUCUGAUGAAGCAGAAGUAAUGUAUCCAGGGACUUUUGUUCUUUCACAGUCACUUUCAUGUGGACAAUAUUCUUUCUCAUAAGUUCCUCUGGAUUGCCCUGGAUCAUUACUUUGCUACUCUGUUUUUGGUCUGCCUAGCUUUGGAAUCAGUACCACUUUUGUGUCAUUAAAAGAAUUUGUACUCAGUCCUCUCUGAAGAAGGCAAUUUGAAGAAAGAACAGAAAGAAAUCUGGGACCAGAGGAUGCUUAAAAAGAUUUUAGGAAAGGAAAGAAGAAGGCGGCCACAGACCUCUAGAGGAAAAGGCCUGCAGGUGAUGGCCUGGACAGACAAGCCAAGGGCAAGUUGGGACUUGGGGCAAACCACCUGGCAGCCUGGCCAGAAGGGAGAAGAAGAACACUUAAUGCAGACACGAGGGGGUUGGGCACAGGCAAGGUA